RNAcentral lists this transfer RNA (49 nucleotides) under Lophopodella carteri. Its description in RNAcentral is "tRNA-Tyr". The record is from RNAcentral. Lineage: Eukaryota; Metazoa; Bryozoa; Phylactolaemata; Lophopodidae.
UCAAUGAAUCUAUUAAGCUUUGUAAGAGCCUUAUAAUUAUUUGCUGUCU